AGAGUUUGAUCCGUGGCGUCAGGACGAACGCUGGCGGCGUGCUUAACACAUGCAAGUCGACGGAAAGGCCCUGCUUUUGUGGGGUGCUCGAGUGGCGAACGGGUGAGUAACACGUGAGUAACCUGCCCUUGACUUUGGGAUAACUUCAGGAAACUGGGGCUAAUACCGGAUAGGAGCUCCUGCUGCAUGGUGGGGGUUGGAAAGUUUCGGCGGUUGGGGAUGGACUCGCGGCUUAUCAGCUUGUUGGUGGGGGUAGUGGCUUACCAAGGCUUUGACGGGUAGCCGGCCUGAGAGGGUGACCGGCCACAUUGGGACUGAGAUACGGCCCAGACUCUUACGGGAGGCAGCAGUGGGGAAUAUUGCACAAUGGGCGGAAGCCUGAUGCAGCAACGCCGCGUGCGGGAUGACGGCCUUCGGGUUGUAAACCGCUUUCGCCUGUGACGAAGCGUGAGUGACGGUAAUGGGUAAAGAAGCACCGGCUAACUACGUG
Molecule: ribosomal RNA, 490 nt
Filed under: uncultured Propionibacterium sp.
Lineage: Bacteria; Bacillati; Actinomycetota; Actinomycetes; Propionibacteriales; Propionibacteriaceae
Description: bacterial SSU rRNA
Rfam family: Bacterial small subunit ribosomal RNA
Source: RNAcentral